GAUGAACGCUGGCGGCGUGCCUAAUACAUGCAAGUCGAGCGAACGGACGAGAAGCUUGCUUCUCUGAUGUUAGCGGCGGACGGGUGAGUAACACGUGGAUAACCUACCUAUAAGACUGGGAUAACUUCGGGAAACCGGAGCUAAUACCGGAUAAUAUUUUGAACCGCAUGGUUCAAUAGUGAAAGACGGUCCUGCUGUCACUUAUAGAUGGAUCCGCGCUGCAUUAGCUAGUUGGUAAGGUAACGGCUUACCAAGGCAACGAUGCAUAGCCGACCUGAGAGAGUGAUCGGCCACCCUGGAACUGAGACACGGUCCAGGCGCCUACGGGAGGCAGCAGUAGGGAAUCUUCCGCAAUGGGCGAAAACCUGACGGAGCAACGCCGCGUGAGUGAUGAAGGUCUUCGGAUCGUAAAACUCUGUUAUUAGGGAAGAACAUAUGUGUAAGUAACUGUGCACAUCUUGACGGUACCUAAUCAGAAAGCCACGGCUAACUACGUG
RNAcentral lists this ribosomal RNA (497 nucleotides) under uncultured bacterium. Its description in RNAcentral is "partial 16S ribosomal RNA". It matches the Rfam family "Bacterial small subunit ribosomal RNA", at positions 28 to 507 of the family's 1533-position model. The record is from RNAcentral.